RNAcentral lists this unclassified non-coding RNA (390 nucleotides) under uncultured fungus. RNAcentral describes it as "partial contains small subunit ribosomal RNA, internal transcribed spacer 1, and 5.8S ribosomal RNA". The stretch from base 1 to 73 matches the Rfam family "Eukaryotic small subunit ribosomal RNA", at positions 1759 to 1831 of the family's 1831-position model. The record is from RNAcentral. Lineage: Eukaryota; Fungi.
GCAAACUUGGUCAUUUAGAGGAAGUAAAAGUCGUAACAAGGUAUCCGUAGGUGAACCUGCGGAUGGAUCAUUACCAAUUUUUAAUAUUAGUUCUAGAUCGAGGGUCAAACCGACGUCUAUGAAACUACUAUGUAAACGUUGAACUAGAUCAUUGGUUGUGGAUUGCUUGGGAAUGGGAGAAGCGACAAGCCUCUCCCGGACAGGCAAACCCCACACCGAUAACCUUUUCAUAUACUUACAACUAGUACAUACUACAAACAAACACAAAAACAAAAGCUAUAAUAGGACUUAUUAUAGGCUGAGUGGGUAAAAGCCUCAGCUCUAAAACUAAUAACUAUUACAACUUUCAGCAAUGGAUCUCUAGGCUCUCGCAUCGAUGAAGAACGCAGC